CCUACGGGCGGCAGCAGUCGAGAAUCAUUCACAAUGGGGGAAACCCUGAUGGUGCGACGCCGCGUGGGGGAAUGAAGGUCUUCGGAUUGUAAACCCCUGUCAUGUGGGAGCAAAUUAAAAAGAUAGUACCACAAGAGGAAGAGACGGCUAACUCUGUGCCAGCAGCCGCGGUAAUACAGAGGUCUCAAGCGUUGUUCGGAAUCACUGGGCGUAAAGCGUGCGUAGGCUGUUUCGUAAGUCGUGUGUGAAAGGCGCGGGCUCAACCCGCGGACGGCACAUGAUACUGGGAGACUAGAGUAAGGGAGGGGGAACCGGAAUUCUCGGUGUAGCAGUGAAAUGCGUAGAUAUCGAGAGGAACACUCGUGGCGAAGGCGGGUUCCUGGACAUUAACUGACGCUGAGGCACGAAGGCCAGGGGAGCGAAAGGGAUUAGAUACCCGAGUAGUC
Molecule: ribosomal RNA, 446 nt
Filed under: uncultured bacterium
Lineage: Bacteria
Description: partial 16S ribosomal RNA
Rfam family: Bacterial small subunit ribosomal RNA
Source: RNAcentral